CUGGGACUUGCUGCCCCCCGCCCCCGCCCACAGGCUGGCUCCCUGAGGCCCAAACCCCAGGCCCCUGCCCUGCUGAGGGCUUUAGCCAAGAGGCUCUGGGGCUGGGGCUGGCCAGGGUGACUGGGUGGCAGGGGGGAGUCUGUCCAAGACACUGGGGUCUCCGCCCAGGCCACAUGGUCCCCCCCUGGCCCCAGGGGGGCCCUUGCUGCUCUGCUGGGUCCUCAAGGACAGAAACUCCCAGGAACUCGGGGCUUUGCCCUCCCCUCCCUCCCCAGCCCAGCAGCCCCCCUGAAAGAACCAAACCAAAGCACCAAGGGAGCAAUUUGCUUUUUUUUAAUGCUCAACUGAAAAAAGGUGUCAAAAAGUGAGAAAAGCCCAACUAGGGAGGUUUGACUAUGUCUCCUGGGAGACCGCAGGAAGUGGGAAAGCAUGAAGGAGAGGGAGCAAAGGAGCCUGGAGAGGCCAAGCAGGAGGCCACGGGAGCAGAUGCUCCGAGAUCCCGAGGGGGAGGACCUGGUGGGGCUGGCUCGGCUAGGCCAGCUGGUCCUUGCUGCCUGGAUCUUCAGGGCCUCUUCCUUCUCCAGGCUGAUGCCGCUUACGCGCGGUUUCCGAAGGAGUCACCACCACCUUCUCCUUUUCUUCCUGGAUUGCCAGCAGAGUAUCCCCCUUUUCUUCGGUCUUUCUGGCAAGCUCAGAAUCAGGAAGGUCAUCAUCCAAGGACUCCUCCUUGCAGAUCAGCUCGGGCACAUUGGACUCCCAGCAUUCCUGGAAUGAGCAGGAACUACCUGAGGAAGAACCACAAUACUCAUCACUGCUGUCCCCUUUAUCGGCUGGAGUGUUUCCACUCAUGAUGUCAGAGUUAAGACCUCUAAAGGGAAUAGCUACUAAUACGCUGUCCAACUGUCCAAAGUUCUAAGGCAAAGAAAGUGGAAAUAUCUCCUCCGUCCUGCUGAAUUUAUAGAGAGCCAGCUACCAAUAGCCCCUAGCCCCU
This 991-nucleotide long non-coding RNA is filed under the name Monodelphis domestica (gray short-tailed opossum). RNAcentral describes it as "lncRNA (ENSMODG00000046099.1)". Lineage: Eukaryota; Metazoa; Chordata; Mammalia; Didelphimorphia; Didelphidae. The record is from RNAcentral.